UUACGCUGUUAUCCCUAAGGUAAUUUAGUCUUCUAAUCAUAACAUACGGGAUCAAUUAACCACAAAUAUGUGUACUUUAUAAAAAAGAGUUAAUUAUAUCUUCUCAUCACCCCAACAAAAUAAUUUCAAAAAUUAAGACAGUAGUCCAACCAAUUUAAUUUAUAAAAUUAUAAAACUCUAUAGGGUCUUCUCGUCCCAUAAAAUUAUUUAAGCUUUCUUACUCAAUAAUUAAAUUCAAUUUUGUCAGAAUAAGACAGUAGUUAUUUCGUCCCACCUUUCAUUCCAGCCUCCAAUUAAAAGACUAAUGAUUAUGCUACCUUUGCACGGUCAGUAUACCGCGGCCAUUUAAUUAAAUCAUAGGGCAGGCAAUACGUUCAUACUCUGUCAAUGAAGCGAUGUUUUUGUUAAACAGGCG
RNAcentral lists this ribosomal RNA (415 nucleotides) under Diploptera punctata (Pacific beetle cockroach). RNAcentral describes it as "partial 16S ribosomal RNA". The record is from RNAcentral. Lineage: Eukaryota; Metazoa; Arthropoda; Insecta; Blattodea; Blaberidae.